RNA transcript from Malania oleifera, 1937 nucleotides. It is a transcript of the gene named B3 domain-containing protein Os04g0386900-like, with no coding region annotated. The transcript has 6 exons. The record is from RefSeq and is a predicted model, not a curated record. Lineage: Eukaryota; Viridiplantae; Streptophyta; Magnoliopsida; Santalales; Ximeniaceae.
GUGAAGGCAUAAAACCGCGAGUCUUUAUAUUUGCUGCCAUCGGGCGGCCCACCCUUCUUCAAUGACUUGGAGUCGGAUUUGUGUCGAGCUUUGAAAAUAUUUGGAUCUACCAUAAAUGUGAAAAUGGGCUGUCUUAUUUGGCAAUGAAACUUAUCAUGAAGGAAAGGGUUGAGGAGUGGCAGUUGAUGACGAGCUCUCCUUCAUUCCCUGCAUGCGCGCCCUCGAAGAAGCAAGAGGAGGAGUCAAGCAUCUAACGCUGGCAGUAAUCUGUCUUUCUGCUCGUCUGUGUAUCUCCCACGCUUUCGAGAAAAAUACCCCAAUUUUCUUCCUGCCUUGGCUCUAGUUUCUCUGAACAGAAAGCCAGUCGAACACUGAACUGAAGUCUGAAAUCUUGAAUUAAGAUCAGAAAUAGAGUGAGUCUUGCAGAAAUGUGUGAUGAUUGCUAAAGCUUGAUACAUUGUUGGCCCACAAUCUAACAGCGUAAGCUUUUAGAUAAAGUGGUAAUUUGACAAGAUGAGUUGUUCAGCAGGUGAUUCAAGCCAUAAAGGUGAGAAUUCUCAAAAGACGGACCUACAAGCACUUGCAUUAAAGAAGCCUAAAAUGACUGAAUUUCAAGGUGAUGAAUUUUGGCCACUUUCAGGGAAGCUGCAUUUUAGUGUCAUUCUUGCAAGAUCACACGUGAAGCCUGUGUAUCAAAUGGUGGUGCCAUCUAGAAUGUACCCAAUACUUCCCUCUUUUAAUGUCCCUGUGGAACUCAUCUAUCGAUCCAAAGUCUGGCAGAUGAUUUAUAUGGGAGGAAACCGGACGCACAAAAGGUUUGAUUCCAAAUGGAAAGUGUUUGUCAAUGACAAUAAUCUAAGAGCUGGGGAUGCAUGUGUAUUUGAAAUAAUGGAGUGCAGUGAUACAAAUAUUAAGUUCAAAGUCCAAAUUCUCAGGGGGGAUAUCCCAUUUAAUUUGGUAGAAAGAAAAAAUGGUGAGAGUUUAGAUUCUGCUGUAGUCAUUGAAUAGAGUUCCUUUGUAUAUAAUAACUGUGAUUGGGUUUUUCAAAUUGCCUGUACAAAUUUCGAGUAGGUAACUGGCUUGUGAUAUACAGUAUACUCAAAAACUUGUUAGGAGUUUUACAUGUAGUGCCGAGUGCAUAGCUUCAUCUGUACUAGUCCCUCUUUUUCCCCACUUUGCUGCUGUGUAAGCUUAUGCUUUAUAUUUUUUGUUGACAUCUCUCCUUUUGCUUUACUCUGCCAAGUUUUUGCAUGUACCUACUAAAUUCUGUUGCAGCAUGACUGAUUAUGAGCCUAAUCAAGCUUUCUGGCAUGGUUCGAGCCUCACUUGUUAUCUUAUGAAUUUUAUAAGAAUUUUGUUACUCAUUUUGAGCUUGGUUUGUGUAAGUUCUUCACAAAUGAGAAGAGUUCCUUGGUGGACAGAAAUUGUGCCAUUUGGUCAGACAGCUUGGCUGCUUAGAGUCGUAGAUGGAGGGUUUCUGUCUUGGGCAUUUGACUGUUCGAAGCUAUGAGCAGUUUGCACAUCUGAUUUCCGCCACUGUGUGCUCUGCACAACUCUUGUACAUCGUCCUUUUUAGGUGUUUUUGGGUGCACGUAGAAACAGAAGCAGUUUGCGUUGGAACCAGCAAUGUAAAUUGAUCAGUGGGCCUUCCUCAUCUGUAAUUCCUUCUGGGAUGGCUAUGGCUCCUGGAAGGUAAUUGUGUUUGCAUUUUGUUACCUGUAUGUUGCCUUUUCUGAAGUUGAGAUGAUUGCAUUUGAAUUGUUUCCCUUAUGGAGGGGACUCAGCCUCAACAAUUAUUUACCCUUUGUUUGCAAGGGUGAAUUUGUUUCAUGGACUAUCCCAAUGUUCGUUACACUAGGACAUAAUGGAUUGAGAGUGAAAUGCAAUAAGAAAUUAUAUAGUUAAUAUAUAAAAUUAUGAAUCAUCUUGGCUAAUCC